GCCACCGUAGCUCAGAUGGCCAGAGCAGCUGAUUCGUAAUCAGCAGGUCAGGGGUUCGACUCCCCUCGGUGGCU
RNAcentral lists this transfer RNA (74 nucleotides) under Candidatus Zixiibacteriota bacterium. Its description in RNAcentral is "tRNA-Thr". It matches the Rfam family "tRNA". From Rfam's summary of the family: Transfer RNA (tRNA) molecules are approximately 80 nucleotides in length. Their secondary structure includes four short double-helical elements and three loops (D, anti-codon, and T loops). Further hydrogen bonds mediate the characteristic L-shaped molecular structure. tRNAs have two regions of fundamental functional importance: the anti-codon, which is responsible for specific mRNA codon recognition, and the 3' end, to which the tRNAs corresponding amino acid is attached (by aminoacyl-tRNA synthetases). tRNAs cope with the degeneracy of the genetic code in two manners: having more than one tRNA (with a specific anti-codon) for a particular amino acid; and 'wobble' base-pairing, i.e. permitting non-standard base-pairing at the 3rd anti-codon position. Lineage: Bacteria; Pseudomonadati; Candidatus Zixiibacteriota. The record is from RNAcentral.